This is a long non-coding RNA of Drosophila innubila, 562 nucleotides long. RefSeq lists it as uncharacterized. The transcript is spliced from 2 exons. Lineage: Eukaryota; Metazoa; Arthropoda; Insecta; Diptera; Drosophilidae. The record is from RefSeq and is a predicted model, not a curated record.
CUAUCUAAAGUUUCUUGUAAUUAUUAUCUUGAUCCAUUUGACUCGAAUGAUACACUGAUUGUUAUCGCUCCUUGGUGCCGGGUGGCGUUGCCCAGCUGGACAGAAGACUUAUUCCGGGCGAUCGUUUGCUCUUUGUGAACUCAAUCUGGAAAACGCUUCGCUGGAUCAGGCAGUGCCAGGCAUUGAAAGGCGCGCCCAAGGGAGUGGUCCGCAUUGGGGUGGCCAAACCGCUGCCCAUGGCGGAUAACUCGCUGAAGGCGUGCAGUAAUGCCAGCACCACCAGCGAGGAGACACUGGAUGCCCAGCAAUCACCGCCAGCACUGCCCACCGCAGCGCCUCCAACUGCGGUGAAAGCGCCGAGCCAAAUCCAAAUCCAACUGGCGGAAAUAGACGACAUAGGGAUUGGACUCCCUCCAGAUACUAUUAAUUAUUAUUAUACUUGUAUGUUAUGCAUAUGUAGUAGAAGCACCAAAUGUGUUGACUCAUGAUUUUUUAUGUAAGCAUAAAAUUUAAAGUGUACAAUAUUACAAUAUAUUAAAUAAUUACAAUUAUAUAAUUACAA